Molecule: ribosomal RNA, 900 nt
Filed under: uncultured bacterium
Lineage: Bacteria
Description: bacterial SSU rRNA
Rfam family: Bacterial small subunit ribosomal RNA
Source: RNAcentral
CACAUGCAAGUCGAGGGGCAGCAUAAUGGAUAGCAAUAUCUAUGGUGGCGACCGGCGCACGGGUGCGUAACGCGUAUGCAACCUACCUUUAACAGGGGGAUAACACUGAGAAAUUGGUACUAAUACCCCAUAAUAUCAUAGAAGGCAUCUUUUAUGGUUGAAAAUUCCGAUGGUUAGAGAUGGGCAUGCGUUGUAUUAGCUAGUUGGUGGGGUAACGGCUCACCAAGGCGACGAUACAUAGGGGGACUGAGAGGUUAACCCCCCACACUGGUACUGAGACACGGACCAGACUCCUACGGGAGGCAGCAGUGAGGAAUAUUGGUCAAUGGACGCAAGUCUGAACCAGCCAUGCCGCGUGCAGGAUGACGGCUCUAUGAGUUGUAAACUGCUUUUGUACGAGGGUAAACGCAGAUACGUGUAUCUGUCUGAAAGUAUCGUACGAAUAAGGAUCGGCUAACUCCGUGCCAGCAGCCGCGGUAAUACGGAGGAUUCAAGCGUUAUCCGGAUUUAUUGGGUUUAAAGGGUGCGUAGGCGGUUUGAUAAGUUAGAGGUGAAAUUUCGGGGCUCAACCCUGAACGUGCCUCUAAUACUGUUGAGCUAGAGAGUAGUUGCGGUAGGCGGAAUGUAUGGUGUAGCGGUGAAAUGCUUAGAGAUCAUACAGAACACCGAUUGCGAAGGCAGCUUACCAAACUAUAUCUGACGUUGAGGCACGAAAGCGUGGGGAGCAAACAGGAUUAGAUACCCUGGUAGUCCACGCAGUAAACGAUGAUAACUCGUUGUCGGCGAUACACAGUCGGUGACUAAGCGAAAGCGAUAAGUUAUCCACCUGGGGAGUACGUUCGCAAGAAUGAAACUCAAAGGAAUUGACGGGGGCCCGCACAAGCGGAGGAACAUGUGGUU